AAGAAACUGGCGAUCAUCAACUGCUGGAAAAACUGAAGGCCAGGUUGCUAGAUGCGAUGGGAGACAGUAGCCCUGCUGAAGAGCUGAUACACUUGCAGUUUCCUAUUACGUUGCUCAUGGGACGAAAGGAAGAACAUUAGUCACUGAAGCUGAUAUUUAGGUGUUACCUUCUCCAUGGUGUAUAGCAUAAAUGGCUCAAUGCUUAAUUUAAAAAAAUUUUAUAAAAAAAAUUUGCUUUAAAUAUUGAUGUUUGAUUUCGUUUCAGUUUGGUUAGUUAGUCGUGUAACGCGAUUGAAUGCGUAGAAGAGAGAGAGUUAAUCAACGAGAUCCAAGCUUUAUUGUUCACACUGUAAUGGCGUCUACAAACCGGCUGUUUAACCAAACUGCUGCUAAUGGGCAGCUCAUUGUAAAGGCGUCCUGUGGUUGGCUGCUGCGAGAUCACACCACUGAGUGGGUGUAUCCAACUUUACCAGCUAGGCUAUACAAUACGUGAUCUACAUAAAUGUAUACACGUUACAGGUCGUUGCUCAAAACAAUUAGUUACAAGUAAAAUGUAUAAUAAUUCAUAAUAAAGUCCUUGAAACUGCCAAGCAUGUUUUCUCAAAUCUAGAUUUAGCAGUUGUAAAACGAGAUAUUACAUAGAUUUAUUAGAUGUAACAAAGUUGUAAGAUAACAGUUUGAAUAUUUAUUUAUGAUAUAACAUGUAUAUAAUAAUGAUGGCUUGGUUCUAGUCCAUAUUGCGUUAAAUUUGGAAAGUGUAACGUUCUCUAGUCUACAUGUAAACAGCGCUAGAAGUUUUAACUAAUUUUCUUUUAAUUCAAUUUAAUUUAUACUGUGCUUAGGUAACUUAUCAGCUGUAUUAUUUAGUCAAUGUUUACCUGUCAUGAAGCCCAAUGCACAGUAUGAUUACAACCCUAGAACUUAGGCUUUGCAGUAUGUGUAUCCUACCAAUUAUUCUAGGUAAUUACGGUCAGUAACCAGUUAAGACUCGAGCAAUCUAUAAAUUGUGCAAAACAACAAAAAAUCCAUUAAUUGCACAGUGCUUUCUGUGUAGCAUAAUAUAGGCAUAUAUAUAAGAUGGCAAUCAUUUUUUACGUGUAUUUUGAAGGCUUUUGUACAGCAAUGACAGUCAGGCAACCAUAUGUUUUUCUCAUUCCUUCUUUCUCGUCUAUUAAUGCCUCAAGUUUGUUGCUCUCUUUCAAGUCAUGCAGCCUUUGGAAAUAUGUCUCCAUGUAAUUUGUA
This is a long non-coding RNA of Priapulus caudatus, 1242 nucleotides long. RefSeq lists it as uncharacterized. The transcript is spliced from 2 exons. Lineage: Eukaryota; Metazoa; Priapulida; Priapulimorpha; Priapulimorphida; Priapulidae. The record is from RefSeq and is a predicted model, not a curated record.